GGAACCCUACGGGGGGCAGCAGUGAGGAAUAUUGGUCAAUGGACGCAAGUCUGAACCAGCCAUGCCGCGUGCAGGAAGACGGCUCUAUGAGUUGUAAACUGCUUUUGUACGAGGGUAAACGCAGAUACGUGUAUCUGUCUGAAAGUAUCGUACGAAUAAGGAUCGGCUAACUCCGUGCCAGCAGCCGCGGUAAUACGGAGGAUUCAAGCGUUAUCCGGAUUUAUUGGGUUUAAAGGGUGCGUAGGCGGUUCGAUAAGUUAGAGGUGAAAUCCCGGGGCUCAACUCCGGCACUGCCUCUGAUACUG
This 305-nucleotide ribosomal RNA is filed under the name uncultured bacterium. RNAcentral's name for it is "bacterial SSU rRNA". It matches the Rfam family "Bacterial small subunit ribosomal RNA", at positions 333 to 635 of the family's 1533-position model. The record is from RNAcentral.